This 676-nucleotide ribosomal RNA is filed under the name uncultured Staphylococcus sp. Its description in RNAcentral is "bacterial SSU rRNA". It matches the Rfam family "Bacterial small subunit ribosomal RNA", at positions 61 to 719 of the family's 1533-position model. Lineage: Bacteria; Bacillati; Bacillota; Bacilli; Caryophanales; Staphylococcaceae. The record is from RNAcentral.
GUCGAGCGAACAGACGAGGAGCUUGCUCCUCUGACGUUAGCGGCGGACGGGUGAGUAACACGUGGAUAACCUACCUAUAAGACUGGGAUAACUUCGGGAAACCGGAGCUAAUACCGGAUAAUAUAUUGAACUGCAUGGUUCAAUAGUGAAAGACGGUUUUGCUGUCACUUAUAGAUGGAUCCGCGCCGCAUUAGCUAGUUGGUAAGGUAACGGCUUACCAAGGCAACGAUGCGUAGCCGACCUGAGAGGGUGAUCGGCCACACUGGAACUGAGACACGGUCCAGACUCCUACGGGAGGCAGCAGUAGGGAAUCUUCCGCAAUGGGCGAAAGCCUGACGGAGCAACGCCGCGUGAAUGAUGAAGGUCUUCGGAUCGUAAAACUCUGUUAUUAGGGAAGAACAAAUGUGUAAGUAACUAUGCACGUCUUGACGGUACCUAAUCAGAAAGCCACGGCUAACUACGUGCCAGCAGCCGCGGUAAUACGUAGGUGGCAAGCGUUAUCCGGAAUUAUUGGGCGUAAAGCGCGCGUAGGCGGUUUUUUAAGUCUGAUGUGAAAGCCCACGGCUCAACCGUGGAGGGUCAUUGGAAACUGGAAAACUUGAGUGCAGAAGAGGAAAGUGGAAUUCCAUGUGUAGCGGUGAAAUGCGCAGAGAUAUGGAGGAACACCAGUGGCGAA